Molecule: ribosomal RNA, 777 nt
Filed under: uncultured bacterium
Lineage: Bacteria
Description: bacterial SSU rRNA
Rfam family: Bacterial small subunit ribosomal RNA
Source: RNAcentral
AGUUUGAUCAUGGCUCAGAACGUACGCUGGCGGCACGCCUAACACAUGCAAGUCGAACGAAGUAGCAAUACUUAGUGGCAGACGGGUGAGUAACAUGUAGGUAUCUACCCUUUGGCCUGGAAUAACACGAGGAAACUUGUGCUAAUACCGGAUAAGUCUUUACGGAGAAAGCUUUAUGCACCAUUGGAUGAGCCUGCACUUGAUUAGUUUGUUGGUAGGGUAAUGGCCUACCAAGACUAUGAUCAAUAGCUGAUUUGAGAGGAUGAUCAGCCACAUUGGGACUGAGACACGGCCCAAACUCCUACGGGAGGCAGCAGUGGGGAAUCUUGCACAAUGGAGGAAACUCUGAUGCAGCGAUGCCGCGUGAGUGAAGAAGGCCCUUGGGUUGUAAAGCUCUUUCGUCGGGGAAGAAAAUGACUGUACCCGAAUAAGAAGGUCCGGCUAACUUCGUGCCAGCAGCCGCGGUAAUACGAAGGGACCUAGCGUAGUUCGGAAUUACUGGGCUUAAAGAGUUCGUAGGUGGUUGAAAAAGUUGGUGGUGAAAUCCCAGAGCUUAACUCUGGAACUGCCAUCAAAACUUUUCAGCUAGAGUAUGAUAGAGGAAAGCAGAAUUUCUAGUGUAGAGGUGAAAUUCGUAGAUAUUAGAAAGAAUACCAAUUGCGAAGGCAGCUUUCUGGAUCAUUACUGACACUGAGGAACGAAAGCAUGGGUAGCGAAGAGGAUUAGAUACCCUCGUAGUCCAUGCCGUAAACGAUGUGUGUUAGACGUUGGAAAUUU